UACGGGGGGGGCAAGCGUUGUUCGGAAUUACUGGACGUAAAGGGCUCGUAGGCGGCCAACUAAGUCGGAUGUGAAAUCCCCAGGCUUAACCUGGGAACUGCAUCCGAUACUGGAUGGCUUGAAUCCGGGAGAGGGAUGCAGAAUUCCAGGUGUAGCGGUGAAAUGCGUAGAUAUCGGAAGGAACAUCAGUGGCGAAAGCGGCUUCCUGGUCCAGCACCGACGUUCAGGCACGAAAGCGUGGGGAGCAAACAGG
This 253-nucleotide ribosomal RNA is filed under the name uncultured bacterium. RNAcentral's name for it is "partial 16S ribosomal RNA". It matches the Rfam family "Bacterial small subunit ribosomal RNA", at positions 524 to 776 of the family's 1533-position model. The record is from RNAcentral.